GCCUCCUUAGCUUAGUGGUAGAGCGUUGCACUUGUAAUGCAAAGGUCGCUGGUUCAAUUCUGGCAGGGGGCA
Molecule: transfer RNA, 72 nt
Filed under: Zygosaccharomyces parabailii
Lineage: Eukaryota; Fungi; Ascomycota; Saccharomycetes; Saccharomycetales; Saccharomycetaceae
Description: tRNA-Thr
Rfam family: tRNA
About the family: Transfer RNA (tRNA) molecules are approximately 80 nucleotides in length.
Source: RNAcentral